This 649-nucleotide ribosomal RNA is filed under the name uncultured euryarchaeote. Its description in RNAcentral is "bacterial SSU rRNA". It matches the Rfam family "Archaeal small subunit ribosomal RNA", at positions 76 to 723 of the family's 1478-position model. The record is from RNAcentral. Lineage: Archaea; Methanobacteriati; Methanobacteriota.
CCGUAGCGAACAGCUCAGUAACACGUGGCCAAGCUACCCUAUGGACGUGGACACCCUCGGGAAACUGAGGCUAAUCCGCGAUACGGCUCCCACGCUUGAAUGCGGGGAGCCGGAAACGCUCCGGCGCCAUAGGAUGCGGCUGCGGCCGAUUAGGUAGACGGUGGGGUGACGGCCCACCGUGCCGAUAAUCGGUACGGGAUGUGAGAGCAAAUAGCCCGGAGAUGGAAUCUGAGACAAGAUUCCAGGCCCUACGGGGCGCAGCAGGCGCGAAACCUUUACACUGCACGCCAGUGCGAUAAGGGGACCCCGAGUGCGAGGGCAUACAGUCCUCGCUUUUGUACACCGUAAGGAGGUGUACGAAUAAGGGCUGGGCAAGACCGGUGCCAGCCGCCGCGGUAAUACCGGCAGCCCGAGUGAUGGCCGCUGUUAUUGGGCCUAAAGCGUCCGUAGCCGGCCGAACAAGUCUGUCGGGAAAUCCAUCCGCCUAACGGAUGGGCGUCCGGCAGAAACUGUUCGGCUUGGGGCCGGAAGAUCCGAGGGGUACGUCCGGGGUAGGAGUGAAAUCCUGUAAUCCUGGACGGACCGCCGGUGGCGAAAGCGCCUCGGAAGGACGGACCCGACGGUGAGGGACGAAAGCUGGGGUCUCGAA